GCGCAGCAGGCGAGAAACUUCACACUGUGCGAAAGCACGAUGAGGGAAUCCCAAGUGCUUGCACGUAAGUGUAAGCUGUUUCUCUGUUUAAAACGCAGAGAGAGUAAGGGCUGGGUAAGACGGGUGCCAGCCGCCGCGGUAAUACCUGCAGCUCAAGUGGUGACCGUUAUUAUUGGGCCUAAAACGUCCGUAGCCGGUUUAAUAAAUGCCUGGGUAAAUCGUGUAGCUUAACUAUACGAAUUCCGGGUAGACUGUUAAACUCGAGACCGGGAGAAGUUAGAGGUACUCCUGGGGUAGAGGUGAAAUUCUGUAAUCCUAGGGGGACCACCAGUGGCGAAGGCGUCUAACUAGAACGGGUCUGACGGUGAGGGACGAAGCCCUGGGGCGCAAACGGGAUUAGAUACCCCUGUAGU
This 413-nucleotide ribosomal RNA is filed under the name uncultured microorganism. Its description in RNAcentral is "bacterial SSU rRNA". It matches the Rfam family "Archaeal small subunit ribosomal RNA", at positions 330 to 745 of the family's 1478-position model. The record is from RNAcentral.